This 253-nucleotide ribosomal RNA is filed under the name uncultured bacterium. RNAcentral describes it as "partial 16S ribosomal RNA". It matches the Rfam family "Bacterial small subunit ribosomal RNA", at positions 524 to 776 of the family's 1533-position model. The record is from RNAcentral.
UACGUAGGGUGCAAGCGUUAAUCGGAAUUACUGGGCGUAAAGCGUGCGCAGGCGGUUGUGCAAGACAGAUGUGAAAUCCCCGGGCUCAACCUGGGAACUGCAUUUGUGACUGCACAGCUUGAGUGCGGCAGAGGGGGAUGGAAUUCCGCGUGUAGCAGUGAAAUGCGUAGAUAUGCGGAGGAACACCGAUGGCGAAGGCAAUCCCCUGGGCCUGCACUGACGCUCAUGCACGAAAGCGUGGGUAGCAAACAGG